RNAcentral lists this ribosomal RNA (1137 nucleotides) under Corynebacterium casei. RNAcentral's name for it is "bacterial SSU rRNA". It matches the Rfam family "Bacterial small subunit ribosomal RNA", at positions 37 to 1182 of the family's 1533-position model. Lineage: Bacteria; Bacillati; Actinomycetota; Actinomycetes; Mycobacteriales; Corynebacteriaceae. The record is from RNAcentral.
UGGCCAGUAGAUCCAGCUUACCAUGCAAGUCGAACGGAAAGGCCUCAACUUGCUGGGGUACUCGAGUGGCGAACGGGUGAGUAACACGUGGGUGAUCUGCCCUGCACUUUGGGAUAAGCCUGGGAAACUGGGUCUAAUACCGAAUAUGACCACUUCUUGGAUGUUGUGGUGGAAAGCUUUUGCGGUGUGGGAUGAGCCUGCGGCCUAUCAGCUUGUUGGUGGGGUAAUGGCCUACCAAGGCGGCGACGGGUAUCCGGCCUGAGAGGGUGUACGGACACAUUGGGACUGAGAUACGGCCCAGACUCCUACGGGAGGCAGCAGUGGGGAAUAUUGCACAAUGGGCGCAAGCCUGAUGCAGCGACGCCGCGUGGGGGAUGAAGGCCUUCGGGUUGUAAACUCCUUUCGCUAUCGACGAAACCACUGUGUGGUGACGGUAGGUAGAUAAGAAGCACCGGCUAACUACGUGCCAGCAGCCGCGGUAAUACGUAGGGUGCAAGCGUUGUCCGGAAUUACUGGGCGUAAAGAGCUCGUAGGUGGUUUGUCGCGUCGUCUGUGAAAUCCCGGGGCUUAACUUCGGGCGUGCAGGCGAUACGGGCAUAACUUGAGUGCUGUAGGGGAGACUGGAAUUCCUGGUGUAGCGGUGAAAUGCGCAGAUAUCAGGAGGAACACCGAUGGCGAAGGCAGGUCUCUGGGCAGUAACUGACGCUGAGGAGCGAAAGCAUGGGUAGCGAACAGGAUUAGAUACCCUGGUAGUCCAUGCCGUAAACGGUGGGCGCUAGGUGUAGGGGGCUUCCACGUCUUCUGUGCCGUAGCUAACGCAUUAAGCGCCCCGCCUGGGGAGUACGGCCGCAAGGCUAAAACUCAAGGAAUUGACGGGGGCCCGCACAAGCGGCGGAGCAUGUGGAUUAAUUCUAUGCAACGCGAAAACCUUACCUGGGCUUGACAUGUACCGGAUCGGGCUAAGAUAUCUUUCCUUGUGGUCGGUAUACAGUGGUGCAUGGUGUCGUCACUCGUGUCUGAGAUGUUGGGUUAAGUCCCGCAACGAGCGCACCCUUGUCUUAUGUUGCCAGCACGUGAUGGUGGGGAACUCCAUGAGAGAACUGCUCGGGGUUAACCUCCGAGGGAAGGUGGGGAUGA